CAAGGAUUCCCCUAGUAACGGCGAGUGAAGCGGGAAGAGCACAAAUUUUAAAUCUACCUGGUUUUYCAGGUCGAGUUGUAAUUUGAAGAAACGUUUUUUACGUUCCGGGUUGGAUUAAAUCCUUUGGGAUAAGGUAUCAUGGAGGGUGAGAAUCCCGUGUAUACCAACCACUGGAAUGUUAUUAAUACGAUUUCUAAGAGUCGAGUUGUUUGGGAAUGCAGCUCUAAAUGGGUGGUAAAUUUCACCUAAUGCUAAAUAUAAGCGAGAGACCGAUAGUGAACAAGUACCGUGAGGGAAAGAUGAAAAGAACUUUGAAAAGAGAGUUAAAUAGUACGUGAAAUUGUUGAAAGGGAAACGGUUGAAGUCAGUCAUGCCGGCGGGAAUCAACUUAGGGGAAACUCUAGGUGCACUUCUUCGCUUGGCAGGUUAGCGUCGAUUUUGGAUGUCAUAAAAUGACUGGGGGAAGGUAGCUCCUUCGGGAGUGUUAAGCCCUUGGUAGAUGUGAUGUUCGGGAUCGAGGAUUGCAACGGAUACCCUUUGGGCUAGCCACCUGGUCUCUAAUACGAAGUUGGGUUAUGGAUAGCAUGCUAAUCAUGAUCUGAUUUUCGGUUAAAAGAUUAGAGUGAGUGUAAAUUCGUUAAGGACGCUGACG
RNAcentral lists this ribosomal RNA (652 nucleotides) under Cetraspora pellucida. Its description in RNAcentral is "eukaryotic LSU rRNA". It matches the Rfam family "Eukaryotic large subunit ribosomal RNA", at positions 69 to 631 of the family's 3401-position model. Lineage: Eukaryota; Fungi; Glomeromycota; Glomeromycetes; Diversisporales; Gigasporaceae. The record is from RNAcentral.